GAUGAACGCUGGCGGCGUGCCUAAUACAUGCAAGUCGAGCGAACAGAUAAGGAGCUUGCUCCUUUGACGUUAGCGGCGGACGGGUGAGUAACACGUGGAUAACCUACCCAUAAGACUGGGAUAACUUCGGGAAACCGGAGCUAAUACCGGAUAACAUAUUGAACCGCAUGGUUCAAUAGUGAAAGGCGGCUUUGCUGUCACUUAUAGAUGGAUCCGCGCCGUAUUAGCUAGUUGGUAAGGUAACGGCUUACCAAGGCAACGAUACGUAGCCGACCUGAGAGGGUGAUCGGCCACACUGGAACUGAGACACGGUCCAGACUCCUACGGGAGGCAGCAGUAGGGAAUCUUCCGCAAUGGGCGAAAGCCUGACGGAGCAACGCCGCGUGAGUGAUGAAGGUCUUCGGAUCGUAAAACUCUGUUAUCAGGGAAGAACAAAUGUGUAAGUAACUGUGCACAUCUUGACGGUACCUGAUCAGAAAGCCACGGCUAACUACGUG
Molecule: ribosomal RNA, 497 nt
Filed under: uncultured bacterium
Lineage: Bacteria
Description: partial 16S ribosomal RNA
Rfam family: Bacterial small subunit ribosomal RNA
Source: RNAcentral